AGCAGCCGCGGUAAUUCCAGCUCCAAUAGCGUAUAUUAAAGUUGUUGCAGUUAAAAAGCUCGUAGUUGAAUUUCGAGAUCGGUUUAUUGGUCGUGCUAUUGUACGUACUGGUAUUACCGGUUUCUCCUUUCUGACGAACCUUAAUGCCAUUAAUUUGGUGUUUUUGGGAAAUCAGGACUGUUACUUUGAAAAAAUUAGAGUGUUUAAAAGCAGGCUCACGCUUGAAUACAUUAGCAUGGAAUAACGGAAUAGGACGUUUGAUUCUAUUUUGUUGGUUUCUAGGAUCGACGUAAUGAUUAACAGGGAUAGUUGGGGGCAUUAGGUAUUCAAUUGUCAGAGGUGAAAUUCUUGGAUUUAUUGAAGACUAACUACUGCGAAAGUAUUUGCCAAGGAUGUUUUCAUUAAUCAAGAACGAAAGUUAGGGGAUCGAAGACGAAUCAGAUACCGUGUAGUCUUAACCAUAAACUNUNCGACUAGGAUCGGAUGAUGUUAAUUUUUAUGUACUNAUUCGGCGUCCUUA
This 520-nucleotide ribosomal RNA is filed under the name uncultured Glomus. RNAcentral's name for it is "SSU rRNA". It matches the Rfam family "Eukaryotic small subunit ribosomal RNA", at positions 569 to 1091 of the family's 1831-position model. Lineage: Eukaryota; Fungi; Glomeromycota; Glomeromycetes; Glomerales; Glomeraceae. The record is from RNAcentral.